RNAcentral lists this ribosomal RNA (233 nucleotides) under uncultured bacterium. Its description in RNAcentral is "partial 16S ribosomal RNA". It matches the Rfam family "Bacterial small subunit ribosomal RNA", at positions 15 to 225 of the family's 1533-position model. The record is from RNAcentral.
GAUCAUGGCUCAGGACGAACGCUGGCGGCGUGCUUAACACAUGCAAGUCGAACGAAGAGCGAUGGAAGCUUGCUUCUAUCAAUCUUAGUGGCGAACGGGUGAGUAACGCGUAAUCAACCUGCCCUUCAGAGGGGGACAACAGUUGGAAACGACUGCUAAUACCGCAUACGAUCCAAUCUCGGCAUCGAGACCGGAUGAAAGGUGGCCUCUAUUUAUAAGCUAUCACUGAAGGG